UUUAACUGAAGAGUUUGAUCAUGGCUCAGAUUGAACGCUGGCGGCAGGCUUAACACAUGCAAGUCGAGCGGGGGAAGGUAGCUUGCUACU
Molecule: ribosomal RNA, 90 nt
Filed under: Acinetobacter baumannii
Lineage: Bacteria; Pseudomonadati; Pseudomonadota; Gammaproteobacteria; Moraxellales; Moraxellaceae
Description: partial 16S ribosomal RNA
Rfam family: Bacterial small subunit ribosomal RNA
Source: RNAcentral